RNAcentral lists this ribosomal RNA (862 nucleotides) under Mammaliicoccus lentus. RNAcentral describes it as "bacterial SSU rRNA". It matches the Rfam family "Bacterial small subunit ribosomal RNA", at positions 40 to 885 of the family's 1533-position model. Lineage: Bacteria; Bacillati; Bacillota; Bacilli; Caryophanales; Staphylococcaceae. The record is from RNAcentral.
UGGCUGCUAUACAUGCAAGUCGAGCGAACAGAUGAGAAGCUUGCUUCUCUGAUGUUAGCGGCGGACGGGUGAGUAACACGUGGGUAACCUACCUAUAAGACUGGGAUAACUCCGGGAAACCGGGGCUAAUACCGGAUAAUAUAUUGAACCGCAUGGUUCAAUGUUGAAAGACGGUUUCGGCUGUCACUUAUAGAUGGACCCGCGCCGUAUUAGCUAGUUGGUAAGGUAACGGCUUACCAAGGCAACGAUACGUAGCCGACCUGAGAGGGUGAUCGGCCACACUGGAACUGAGACACGGUCCAGACUCCUACGGGAGGCAGCAGUAGGGAAUCUUCCGCAAUGGGCGAAAGCCUGACGGAGCAACGCCGCGUGAGUGAUGAAGGUCUUAGGAUCGUAAAACUCUGUUGUUAGGGAAGAACAAAUUUGUUAGUAACUGAACAAGUCUUGACGGUACCUAACCAGAAAGCCACGGCUAACUACGUGCCAGCAGCCGCGGUAAUACGUAGGUGGCAAGCGUUAUCCGGAAUUAUUGGGCGUAAAGCGCGCGUAGGCGGUUUCUUAAGUCUGAUGUGAAAGCCCACGGCUCAACCGUGGAGGGUCAUUGGAAACUGGGGAACUUGAGUGCAGAAGAGGAGAGUGGAAUUCCAUGUGUAGCGGUGAAAUGCGCAGAGAUAUGGAGGAACACCAGUGGCGAAGGCGGCUCUCUGGUCUGUAACUGACGCUGAUGUGCGAAAGCGUGGGGAUCAAACAGGAUUAGAUACCCUGGUAGUCCACGCCGUAAACGAUGAGUGCUAAGUGUUAGGGGGUUUCCGCCCCUUAGUGCUGCAGCUAACGCAUUAAGCACUCCGCCUGGGGAGUACGA